GAUCAUUACCGAGUGAGGGUCCCUGCGUGGGCCCGACCUCUCCACCCGUGUCUACUGUACCAGUGUUGCUUCGGCGGGCCCGCCGUUCUGGCCGCCGGGGGGUAAGGUGUCAUGCCUGCCCCCGGGCCCGUGUCCGCCGGAGGUGAGGGAACUACUGCUGUUGGAGUGUUGUCUGAGUGGGAAAUAGAAUAGUUAAAACUUUCAACAAUGGAUNUCUUGGUUCCGGCAUCGAUGAAGAACGCAGCGAAAUGCGAUAAGUAAUGUGAAUUGCAGAAUUCCGCGAAUCAUCGAAUCUUUGAACGCACAUUGCGCCCUCUGGUAUUCCGGAGGGCAUGCCUGUCCGANCGUCAUUGCCAUCCCUCAAGCCCGGCUUGGGUGUUGGGCCGUCGUCCCCGUUCCCUGGGGACGGGCCUGAAAGGCAGUGGCGGUGNNGGGUCCGGUNCUGGAGCGUUAUGGGGCUUUAUUACUCCNCUCUGCAGGCUGGGCUGGUGCUGGCCCUAAUGGUCUUCCCCAUCAGGUUGACCUCGGAUCAGGUAGGGAUACCCGCUGAACUUAAGCAUAUCAAUAAGCGGAGGAAAAGAAACCAACUGGGAUUGCCUCAGUAACGGCGAGUGAAGCGGCAAAAGCUCAAAUUUGAAAUCUGGCCUCCUGGUCGGGGGUCCGAGUUGUAAUUUGGAGAGGAUGCUUCGGGCCUGGUUCCCAUCUAAGUGCUCAGGAACGGGCUAUCAGAGAGGGUGAGAAUCCCGUCUGGGGUGGGCAAUAGGGUCCGUGUGAAGCUCCUUCGACGAGUCGAGUUGUUUGGGAAUGCAGCUCUAAGUGGGUGGUAAAUUUCAUCUAAAGCUAAAUAUUGGCCGGAGACCGAUAGCGCACAAGUAGAGUGAUCGAAAGAUGAAAAACACUUUGAAAAGAGAGUUAAAGAGCAUGUGAAAUUGUUGAAAGGGAAGCGCUUGCGACCAGACUCAUGCGGGGGGGUUCAGCCGGCACUUGUGGCGGUGCAUUCCCCCCGGUGUGGGCCAGCGUCGGUUUGGAGGGUUGCUGAAAGGCCCCCGGAAUGUAGCGUCCCUUGGGGCGUCUUAUAGCCGGGGGUGGCAUGCGACCGGCCAGACCGAGGAACGCGCUUKGGCUCGGACGCUGGCGUAAUGGUUGCAAGCGGCCCGUCUUGAAACACGGACCAAGGAGUCUAACAUCUACGCGAGUGUUCGGGUGUUAAACCCGUGCGCGCAGUGAAAGCGAAUGGAGGUGGGAGCCCCUCGGGUGCACCAUCGACCGAUCCUGAUGUUCUCGGAUGGAUUUGAGUAGGAGCGUAGCUGUUGGGACCCGAAAGAUGGUGAACUAUGCCUGAAUAGGGCGAAGCCAGAGGAAACUCUGGUGGAGGCUCGCAGCGGUUCUGAC
Molecule: ribosomal RNA, 1392 nt
Filed under: uncultured Elaphomyces
Lineage: Eukaryota; Fungi; Ascomycota; Eurotiomycetes; Eurotiales; Elaphomycetaceae
Description: eukaryotic LSU rRNA
Rfam family: Eukaryotic large subunit ribosomal RNA (bases 520-1392)
Source: RNAcentral